CCUACGGGAGGCAGCAGUGAGGAAUAUUGGUCAAUGGACGAGAGUCUGAACCAGCCAAGUAGCGUGAAGGAUGACUGCCCUAUGGGUUGUAAACUUCUUUUAUAUGGGAAUAAAACGUUCCACGUGUGGGAUUUUGUAUGUACCAUAUGAAUAAGGAUCGGCUAACUCCGUGCCAGCAGCCACGGUAAUACGGAGGAUCCGAGCGUUAUCCGGAUUUAUUGGGUUUAAAGGGAGCGUAGGUGGAUUGUUAAGUCAGUUGUGAAAGUUUGCGGCUCAACCGUAAAAUUGCAGUUGAAACUGGCAGUCUUGAGUACAGUAGAGGUGGGCGGAAUUCGUGGUGUAGCGGUGAAAUGCUUAGAUAUCACGAAGAACUCCGAUUGCGAAGGCAGUUCACUGGACUGCAACUGACACUGAGGCUCGAAAGUGUGGGUAUCAAACAGGAUUAGAUACCCUUGUAGUC
Molecule: ribosomal RNA, 460 nt
Filed under: uncultured bacterium
Lineage: Bacteria
Description: partial 16S ribosomal RNA
Rfam family: Bacterial small subunit ribosomal RNA
Source: RNAcentral